GACAGAGGGGGCUAGCGUUGUUCGGUAUUACUGGGCUUAAAGGGCGCUUAGGCGGUAAUGUAAGUCUGAGGUGGAAUCCUUUGGCUUAACCAAAGGACUGCCUUGGAAACUGCAUAACUUGAGUCAGAUAGGGGAAGGCGGAAUUCCUGGUGUAGCAGAGAAAUGCGUAGAUAUCAGGAGGAAGGCCUGUGGCGAAGCAGGCCUUCGGGGUCUUGUUUGACGCUGAGGCGCGAAAGCUUGGGGAGCAAACAGG
RNAcentral lists this ribosomal RNA (253 nucleotides) under uncultured bacterium. RNAcentral describes it as "partial 16S ribosomal RNA". It matches the Rfam family "Bacterial small subunit ribosomal RNA", at positions 524 to 776 of the family's 1533-position model. The record is from RNAcentral.